Molecule: ribosomal RNA, 252 nt
Filed under: uncultured bacterium
Lineage: Bacteria
Description: partial 16S ribosomal RNA
Rfam family: Bacterial small subunit ribosomal RNA
Source: RNAcentral
UACGUAGGGGGCAAGCGUUGUCCGGAUUUAUUGGGCGUAAAGAGCGUGUAGGCGGCCACACAGGUCUGCUGUGAAAACUCGAGGCUCAACCUCGAGCUGUCGGUGGAAACCGUGUGGCUAGAGUCCGGAAGAGGAGAGUGGAAUUCCCGGUGUAGCGGUGAAAUGCGCAGAUAUCGGGAAGAACACCCGUGGCGAAGGCGGCUCUCUGGGACGGUACUGACGCUGAGAGCGAAAGCGUGGGGAGCGAACAGG